This 682-nucleotide ribosomal RNA is filed under the name Mycolicibacterium sp. RNAcentral's name for it is "bacterial SSU rRNA". It matches the Rfam family "Bacterial small subunit ribosomal RNA", at positions 63 to 762 of the family's 1533-position model. The record is from RNAcentral. Lineage: Bacteria; Bacillati; Actinomycetota; Actinomycetes; Mycobacteriales; Mycobacteriaceae.
CGAACGGAAAGGCCCUUCGGGGUACUCGAGUGGCGAACGGGUGAGUAACACGUGGGUGAUCUGCCCUGCACUUUGGGAUAAGCCUGGGAAACUGGGUCUAAUACCGGAUAGGACCACGGUCUGCAUGGAUUGUGGUGGAAAGCUUUUGCGGUGUGGGAUGGGCCCGCGGCCUAUCAGCUUGUUGGUGGGGUGAUGGCCUACCAAGGCGACGACGGGUAGCCGGCCUGAGAGGGUGUCCGGCCACACUGGGACUGAGAUACGGCCCAGACUCCUACGGGAGGCAGCAGUGGGGAAUAUUGCACAAUGGGCGCAAGCCUGAUGCAGCGACGCCGCGUGGGGGAUGACGGCCUUCGGGUUGUAAACCUCUUUCAGUAGGGACGAAGCGCGAGUGACGGUACCUACAGAAGAAGCACCGGCCAACUACGUGCCAGCAGCCGCGGUAAUACGUAGGGUGCGAGCGUUGUCCGGAAUUACUGGGCGUAAAGAGCUCGUAGGUGGUUUGUCGCGUUGUUCGUGAAAACUCACAGCUUAACUGUGGGCGUGCGGGCGAUACGGGCAGACUGGAGUACUGCAGGGGAGACUGGAAUUCCUGGUGUAGCGGUGGAAUGCGCAGAUAUCAGGAGGAACACCGGUGGCGAAGGCGGGUCUCUGGGCAGUAACUGACGCUGAGGAGCGAAAGCGU